UACGUAGGGGGCUAGCGUUGUCCGGAAUCAUUGGGCGUAAAGCGCGUGUAGGCGGUUCGGUAAGUCCGCUGUGAAAGUCGGGGGCUCAACCCUCGAAUGCCGGUGGAUACUGUCGGGCUAGAGUGCGGAAGAGGCGAGUGGAAUUCCUGGUGUAGCGGUGAAAUGCGCAGAUAUCAGGAGGAACACCUAUUGCGAAGGCAGCUCGCUGGGGACGUUACUGACGCUGAGACGCGAAAGCGUGGGGGAGCAAACAGG
Molecule: ribosomal RNA, 255 nt
Filed under: uncultured bacterium
Lineage: Bacteria
Description: partial 16S ribosomal RNA
Rfam family: Bacterial small subunit ribosomal RNA
Source: RNAcentral